RNAcentral lists this ribosomal RNA (253 nucleotides) under uncultured bacterium. RNAcentral's name for it is "partial 16S ribosomal RNA". It matches the Rfam family "Bacterial small subunit ribosomal RNA", at positions 524 to 776 of the family's 1533-position model. The record is from RNAcentral.
UACAGAGGGUGCGAGCGUUAAUCGGAAUUACUGGGCGUAAAGCGCACGUAGGUGGCGACGUAAGUCGGGUGUGAAAGCCCCGGGCUCAACCUGGGAAUUGCAUUCGAGACUGAAUAGCUAGGGUACGGUAGAGGGAAGUGGAAUUUCCGGUGUAGCGGUGAAAUGCGUAGAUAUCGGAAGGAACAUCAGUGGCGAAAGCGACUUCCUGGACCAGUACCGACGUUCAGGCACGAAAGCGUGGGGAGCAAACAGG